UACGUAGGGUGCGAGCGUUAAUCGGAAUUACUGGGCGUAAAGCGUGCGCAGGCGGUGAGCUGUGUCCGAUGUGAAAGCCCCGGGCUUAACCUGGGAAUGGCAUUGGAAACUGGCUCGCUGGAGUGUGGCAGAGGGGGGUGGAAUUCCUGGUGUAGCGGUGGAAUGCGCAGAUAUCAGGAGGAACACCGGUGGCGAAGGCGGGUCUCUGGGCCGUUACUGACGCUGAGGAGCGAAAGCGUGGGGAGCGAACAGG
This 253-nucleotide ribosomal RNA is filed under the name uncultured bacterium. Its description in RNAcentral is "partial 16S ribosomal RNA". It matches the Rfam family "Bacterial small subunit ribosomal RNA", at positions 524 to 776 of the family's 1533-position model. The record is from RNAcentral.